Molecule: ribosomal RNA, 315 nt
Filed under: Ligidium sp. LU4
Lineage: Eukaryota; Metazoa; Arthropoda; Malacostraca; Isopoda; Ligiidae
Description: partial 12S ribosomal RNA
Source: RNAcentral
CCAGGAUUAGAUACCCUAUUAUUCCUAAACUAAACAAAACCUAAAGAAGUACUUGCUAUACGCCUGAAACCUAAAGGAUUUGGCGGUGUUUUACCUGACCAGAGGAACCCGUUCUAUAACUCGUCACUACGCGAAACAUCUUACCCAGGGUCAGCCCAUAUACCGCCAUUUUAAUUACACCAAAAGGUAACAUUUCAAUGGGUCACCAAGAAACUAGGCAAGGUGUGGCAUCCCAGGGGAUGAAUAGGUUACAUUUUAAAAGCAAGUGGAAUCUUUAUGAAAAAUAGAAGAAAAAGGAUUUGUUAGUAAUUCUUG